Molecule: ribosomal RNA, 451 nt
Filed under: uncultured bacterium
Lineage: Bacteria
Description: partial 16S ribosomal RNA
Rfam family: Bacterial small subunit ribosomal RNA
Source: RNAcentral
GUGGGGAAUUUUGGACAAUGGGCGCAAGCCUGAUCCAGCAAUGCCGCGUGCAGGAAGAAGGCCUUCGGGUUGUAAACUGCUUUUGUACGGAACGAAACGGUCCUGGUUAAUACCUGGGGCUAAUGACGGUACCGUAAGAAUAAGCACCGGCUAACUACGUGCCAGCAGCCGCGGUAAUACGUAGGGUGCGAGCGUUAAUCGGAAUUACUGGGCGUAAAGCGUGCGCAGGCGGUGCUGUAAGACAGGCGUGAAAUCCCCGGGCUCAACCUGGGAAUUGCGCUUGUGACUGCAGUGCUGGAGUACGGCAGAGGGGGAUGGAAUUCCGCGUGUAGCAGUGAAAUGCGUAGAUAUGCGGAGGAACACCGAUGGCGAAGGCAGUCCCCUGGGCCUGUACUGACGCUCAUGCACGAAAGCGUGGGGAGCAAACAGGAUUAGAUACCCCGGGUAGUCC